RNAcentral lists this ribosomal RNA (716 nucleotides) under Alcaligenes sp. CB27(2010). RNAcentral's name for it is "bacterial SSU rRNA". It matches the Rfam family "Bacterial small subunit ribosomal RNA", at positions 77 to 787 of the family's 1533-position model. The record is from RNAcentral. Lineage: Bacteria; Pseudomonadati; Pseudomonadota; Betaproteobacteria; Burkholderiales; Alcaligenaceae.
UCUCUUGGUAAGCGGCGAGUGGCGGACGGGUGAGUAAUAUAUCGGAACGUGCCCAGUAGCGGGGGAUAACUACUCGAAAGAGUGGCUAAUACCGCAUACGCCCUACGGGGGAAAGGGGGGGAUUCUUCGGAACCUCUCACUAUUGGAGCGGCCGAUAUCGGAUUAGCUAGUUGGUGGGGUAAAGGCUCACCAAGGCAACGAUCCGUAGCUGGUUUGAGAGGACGACCAGCCACACUGGGACUGAGACACGGCCCAGACUCCUACGGGAGGCAGCAGUGGGGAAUUUUGGACAAUGGGGGAAACCCUGAUCCAGCCAUCCCGCGUGUAUGAUGAAGGCCUUCGGGUUGUAAAGUACUUUUGGCAGAGAAGAAAAGGUAUCUCCUAAUACGAGAUACUGCUGACGGUAUCUGCAGAAUAAGCACCGGCUAACUACGUGCCAGCAGCCGCGGUAAUACGUAGGGUGCAAGCGUUAAUCGGAAUUACUGGGCGUAAAGCGUGUGUAGGCGGUUCGGAAAGAAAGAUGUGAAAUCCCAGGGCUCAACCUUGGAACUGCAUUUUUAACUGCCGAGCUAGAGUAUGUCAGAGGGGGGUAGAAUUCCACGUGUAGCAGUGAAAUGCGUAGAUAUGUGGAGGAAUACCGAUGGCGAAGGCAGCCCCCUGGGAUAAUACUGACGCUCAGACACGAAAGCGUGGGGAGCAAACAGGAUUAGAUGCGC